This 990-nucleotide ribosomal RNA is filed under the name Eleale lepida. RNAcentral describes it as "partial 16S ribosomal RNA". Lineage: Eukaryota; Metazoa; Arthropoda; Insecta; Coleoptera; Cleridae. The record is from RNAcentral.
GAAUAUAAAUAAUUAUUGAUUUUAUAAAUAAUUUAUUUAAUAUAAAAAAAGAAAUUUUAAUUUUAGUAUUAGUAUAGAAAAAAUUAAUAUUAUUAUAGUUAAUUAGUAUUGUGAAAGAAAUUAUUUAAAUAUAAAAAAGAAGAAUUAAAAUUUUGUACCUUGUGUAUCAGGGUUGGUUAAUUAAUAUUUAAAUAUUUAAUAUUCUCGAAUUUAAAAGAGCUAAUUAUUUAUUAAUUUUAUUGUGAAAUAAAUAUUUAUAAUAAGUAAUUAGAAAUGAAACGUUAUUCGUUUUUAAAUAUAUCUAGUUUUUAAAGAAAUAAAUUAAAUUUACUUAUUAAUAUUCAAAAAUUUAAUUUUUUAAUAUUUUGUUUAUUAAUAAGGAAUUUUUUUAGGGAUAAGCUUAAAAAAAAAUUUUUAUAAUUAAUUUAAAAUAAAAUAAUUUAUAGGAUUAUAAUUUUCUAUUAAUAAAAAAAUGUUAUAAUUAAUUAUUUUAUAAAUUUUAUUUUUAUUUAAUUUAAUUUUUUUAUUUAAAUUUUAUUAUUAAUUAUUUAUAAUAAGAAAUUAUGAUUAAAUUAGUAAAGUUUAGUGUAAUUUUAAUUUUAAAAUUAAGGUUAAAUUAAGGAAUUCGGCAAAAUUAUUUUUCACCUGUUUAAUAAAAACAUGUCCUUAUGAUAAUAAUUUAAGGUCUAAUCUGCCCACUGAGGAUUUAAAUGGCCGCGGUAUUUUGACCGUGCGAAGGUAGCAUAAUAAUUAGUUUCUUAAUUAGAAGCUGGAAUGAAUGAUUGGAUGAGAAAAUAACUGUCUCAGUUUAAUUUAAAUUUGAAUUUUAUUUUUAAGUAAAAAAGCUUAAAUAAGAUUAAAAGACGAGAAGACCCUAUAGAGUUUUAUAUUAUUAAUAUUUUAAAUUUUUUAGUUUGAAGAUUUUAGGUUAUUAAUAAUAUUUUGUUGGGAGUGACAGAAAAAUUAAAUAAACUUUUUUUAUAUGUUUAC